CUCAUAGAGAUGAUAUGGGAUACUUAAGUACAGUUUCAACAAGGGCCACAAAAGCAUCUAAUAGAUUGGUAAAUUACAGACAAACAUACUCACCCAUUGUUUCAUUUGAUCUAUUUUACAAGACUGAAGCAGGGAGCUUUCACAGUUCUAAAGCAGGAAAGAUUUAUUAUCCAAGAACUCUCACCCUAAGGCAGAAUACCUUUUUAUGGCCCUUCAUUCAGAGUAGGCCAGGAGUUCAGCCUACGAAAGUGCACAGGCGGGAUUUUACAUAUUAAGUUCCUGAUUUAAGCUGCAGGACUAUCCAGCUGCUGAUGAGGAGCAAGAUCUCAGAUAGGCUGUACUCAAAGGUCAUGUCAGGGAGUAUGGUCAUGCAAAAUCUACAAAAUAAAGCUAAGAAAUUUGACA
Molecule: long non-coding RNA, 405 nt
Filed under: Cyanistes caeruleus (blue tit)
Lineage: Eukaryota; Metazoa; Chordata; Aves; Passeriformes; Paridae
Description: lncRNA (ENSCCEG00000011727.1)
Source: RNAcentral